This 3088-nucleotide ribosomal RNA is filed under the name Salmonella enterica subsp. enterica serovar Infantis. RNAcentral describes it as "23S ribosomal RNA". It matches the Rfam family "Bacterial large subunit ribosomal RNA". Lineage: Bacteria; Pseudomonadati; Pseudomonadota; Gammaproteobacteria; Enterobacterales; Enterobacteriaceae. The record is from RNAcentral. RNAcentral also lists the same sequence under 7 other names.
GGUUAAGCGACUAAGCGUACACGGUGGAUGCCCUGGCAGUCAGAGGCGAUGAAGGGCGUGCUAAUCUGCGAUAAGCGCCGGUAAGGUGAUAUGAACCGUUAUAACCGGCGAUACCCGAAUGGGGAAACCCAGUGUGAUUCGUCACACUAUCAUUAACUGAAUCCAUAGGUUAAUGAGGCGAACCGGGGGAACUGAAACAUCUAAGUACCCCGAGGAAAAGAAAUCAACCGAGAUUCCCCCAGUAGCGGCGAGCGAACGGGGAGGAGCCCAGAGCCUGAAUCAGCAUGUGUGUUAGUGGAAGCGUCUGGAAAGGCGCGCGAUACAGGGUGACAGCCCCGUACACAAAAGCGCAUGUGCUGUGAGCUCGAUGAGUAGGGCGGGACACGUGGUAUCCUGUCUGAAUAUGGGGGGACCAUCCUCCAAGGCUAAAUACUCCUGACUGACCGAUAGUGAACCAGUACCGUGAGGGAAAGGCGAAAAGAACCCCGGCGAGGGGAGUGAAAAAGAACCUGAAACCGUGUACGUACAAGCAGUGGGAGCCCCACCACUAAGCCAGUGGUGAACUCCACAUCCGCAUCCUUUGCUGAGGAUACGGUUAACGGAGCGAAAGCGACGUUCAACCGCAAAACAAGCAGAGGGGGCUUAGUGGUGGGGUGACUGCGUACCUUUUGUAUAAUGGGUCAGCGACUUAUAUUCUGUAGCAAGGUUAACCGAAUAGGGGAGCCGGAGGGAAACCGAGUCUUAAUUGGGCGUUAAGUUGCAGGGUAUAGACCCGAAACCCGGUGAUCUAGCCAUGGGCAGGUUGAAGGUUGGGUAACACUAACUGGAGGACCGAACCGACUAAUGUUGAAAAAUUAGCGGAUGACCUGUGGCUGGGGGUGAAAGGCCAAUCAAACCGGGAGAUAGCUGGUUCUCCCCGAAAGCUAUUUAGGUAGCGCCUCGUGAAUUCAUCUCCGGGGGUAGAGCACUGUUUCGGCUAGGGGGCCAUCCCGGCUUACCAACCCGAUGCAAACUGCGAAUACCGGAGAAUGUUAUCACGGGAGACACACGGCGGGUGCUAACGUCCGUCGUGAAGAGGGAAACAACCCAGACCGCCAGCUAAGGUCCCAAAGUCAUGGUUAAGUGGGAAACGAUGUGGGAAGGCCCAGACAGCCAGGAUGUUGGCUUAGAAGCAGCCAUCAUUUAAAGAAAGCGUAAUAGCUCACUGGUCGAGUCGGCCUGCGCGGAAGAUGUAACGGGGCUAAACCAUGCACCGAAGCUGCGGCAGCGAACGUAUCACUUAAAGCGAUUCAGCGGGUUACGAUUGACGGAGCGAAGCGACGUCAAAGCGUAUACAAAGUCGAGUCGGUUUAAGGAUACGUUCGUUGGGUAGGGGAGCGUUCUGUAAGCCCGUGAAGGUGGCCUGUGAGGGUUGCUGGAGGUAUCAGAAGUGCGAAUGCUGACAUAAGUAACGAUAAAGCGGGUGAAAAGCCCGCUCGCCGGAAGACCAAGGGUUCCUGUCCAACGUUAAUCGGGGCAGGGUGAGUCGACCCCUAAGGCGAGGCCGAAAGGCGUAGUCGAUGGGAAACGGGUUAAUAUUCCCGUACUUGGUGUUACUGCGAAGGGGGGACGGAGAAGGCUAUGUUGGCCGGGCGACGGUUGUCCCGGUUUAAGCGUGUAGGUGUGUGUUCCAGGUAAAUCCGGUUCACUUUAACACUGAGGCGUGAUGACGAGGCACUACGGUGCUGAAGCAACAAAUGCCCUGCUUCCAGGAAAAGCCUCUAAGCAUCAGGUAACAUCAAAUCGUACCCCAAACCGACACAGGUGGUCAGGUAGAGAAUACCAAGGCGCUUGAGAGAACUCGGGUGAAGGAACUAGGCAAAAUGGUGCCGUAACUUCGGGAGAAGGCACGCUGACACGUAGGUGAAGUGAUUUACUCACGGAGCUGAAGUCAGUCGAAGAUACCAGCUGGCUGCAACUGUUUAUUAAAAACACAGCACUGUGCAAACACGAAAGUGGACGUAUACGGUGUGACGCCUGCCCGGUGCCGGAAGGUUAAUUGAUGGGGUCAGCGCAAGCGAAGCUCCUGAUCGAAGCCCCGGUAAACGGCGGCCGUAACUAUAACGGUCCUAAGGUAGCGAAAUUCCUUGUCGGGUAAGUUCCGACCUGCACGAAUGGCGUAAUGAUGGCCAGGCUGUCUCCACCCGAGACUCAGUGAAAUUGAACUCGCUGUGAAGAUGCAGUGUACCCGCGGCAAGACGGAAAGACCCCGUGAACCUUUACUAUAGCUUGACACUGAACAUUGAGCCUUGAUGUGUAGGAUAGGUGGGAGGCUUUGAAGUGUGGACGCCAGUCUGCAUGGAGCCGACCUUGAAAUACCACCCUUUAAUGUUUGAUGUUCUAACGUGGACCCGUAAUCCGGGUUGCGGACAGUGUCUGGUGGGUAGUUUGACUGGGGCGGUCUCCUCCUAAAGAGUAACGGAGGAGCACGAAGGUUGGCUAAUCCUGGUCGGACAUCAGGAGGUUAGUGCAAUGGCAUAAGCCAGCUUGACUGCGAGCGUGACGGCGCGAGCAGGUGCGAAAGCAGGUCAUAGUGAUCCGGUGGUUCUGAAUGGAAGGGCCAUCGCUCAACGGAUAAAAGGUACUCCGGGGAUAACAGGCUGAUACCGCCCAAGAGUUCAUAUCGACGGCGGUGUUUGGCACCUCGAUGUCGGCUCAUCACAUCCUGGGGCUGAAGUAGGUCCCAAGGGUAUGGCUGUUCGCCAUUUAAAGUGGUACGCGAGCUGGGUUUAGAACGUCGUGAGACAGUUCGGUCCCUAUCUGCCGUGGGCGCUGGAGAACUGAGGGGGGCUGCUCCUAGUACGAGAGGACCGGAGUGGACGCAUCACUGGUGUUCGGGUUGUCAUGCCAAUGGCACUGCCCGGUAGCUAAAUGCGGAAGAGAUAAGUGCUGAAAGCAUCUAAGCACGAAACUUGCCCCGAGAUGAGUUCUCCCUGAGACUUAGAGUCUCCUGAAGGAACGUUGAAGACGACGACGUUGAUAGGCCGGGUGUGUAAGCGCAGCGAUGCGUUGAGCUAACCGGUACUAAUGAACCGUGAGGCUUAACCUU